CUAAGGUAGCGAAAUUCCUUGUCGGGUAAGUUCCGACCCGCACGAAAGGCGUAAUGAUUUGAGCGCUGUCUCGACAAUGCAUCCGGUGAAAUUGAAGUACCAGUGAAGAUGCUGGUUACCUGCGCCAGGACGGAAAGACCCCAUGGAGCUUUACUCCAGUCUGGUACUGGGACUCGGUAUUGCAUGUACAGGAUAGGUGGGAGGCUAGGAGAUGGUAACGCCAGUUGCCAUGGAGCCGCUGUUGGGAUACCACCCUUGCAGUAUUGGGUUUCUAACCAGCCGCCGUGACCCGGCGGUGGGACAAUGCCAGACGGGGAGUUUGACUGGGGCGGUCGCCUCCGAAAGGGUAUCGGAGGCGCCCAAAGGUUCCCUCAGAAUGGACGGAAACCAUUCGAAGAGUGCAAAGGCAGAAGGGAGCUUGACUGCGACACCGACGGGUGGAGCAGGUACGAAAGUAGGGCUUAGUGAUCCGGUGGUAUUAAGUGGGAAUGCCAUCGCUCAACGGAUAAAAGCUACCCUGGGGAUAACAGGCUUAUCACUCCCAAGAGUUCACAUCGACGGAGUGGUUUGGCACCUCGAUGUCGGCUCAUCGCAUCCUGGGGCUGUAGUAGGUCCCAAGGGUUGGGCUGUUCGCCCAUUAAAGCGGUACGCGAGCUGGGUUCAGAACGUCGUGAGACAGUUCGGUCCCUAUCCGGCGUGGGCGCAGGAAAUUUGAGAAGAGCCAUUCCUAGUACGAGAGGACCG
RNAcentral lists this ribosomal RNA (744 nucleotides) under Anaerosalibacter bizertensis. RNAcentral describes it as "partial 23S ribosomal RNA". It matches the Rfam family "Bacterial large subunit ribosomal RNA", at positions 1951 to 2694 of the family's 2925-position model. The record is from RNAcentral. Lineage: Bacteria; Bacillati; Bacillota; Tissierellia; Tissierellales; Sporanaerobacteraceae.